Molecule: long non-coding RNA, 282 nt
Filed under: Selaginella moellendorffii
Lineage: Eukaryota; Viridiplantae; Streptophyta; Lycopodiopsida; Selaginellales; Selaginellaceae
Description: long non-coding RNA (SMOE_LNC001445)
Source: RNAcentral
AAGUUUAAGAACAUAUUAUAUCUUAAUCAACUAUACCUCCUAACAUAGCCCCCAUGUUUACAAUUCAUAAUUGUGUCUCAAUAAUCCUUCCACAGGUUCACCUAUAUGCAACACGAUGUGACACUCUUUGGAUUUCCAUCCUCCUUCCUCUAACUGAUAAGAAUCACACUUUUGGACAAGCAUAGAACUAAAUCAAGCUGUGUGCAUUUGAUAGCAACAUAAAGGCAACAUCACUGCAAGGAUUUGGUCUAAGAGCAUUCCUUGCUGCUCAUUCAAUCUAAC